Molecule: ribosomal RNA, 490 nt
Filed under: uncultured bacterium
Lineage: Bacteria
Description: partial 16S ribosomal RNA
Rfam family: Bacterial small subunit ribosomal RNA
Source: RNAcentral
AUUGAACGCUGGCGGCAGGCCUAACACAUGCAAGUCGAACGGUAACAGAAAGCAGCUUGCUGCUUUGCUGACGAGUGGCGGACGGGUGAGUAAUGUCUGGGAAACUGCCUGAUGGAGGGGGAUAACUACUGGAAACGGUACCUAAUACCGCAUAACGUCGCAAGACCAAAGAGGGGGACCUUCGGGCCUCUUGCCAUCGGAUGUGCCCAGAUGGGAUUAGCUAGUAGGUGGGGUAACGGCUCACCUAGGCGACGAUCCCUAGCUGGUCUGAGAGGAUGACCAGCCACACUGGAACUGAGACACGGUCCAGACUCCUACGGGAGGCAGCAGUGGGGAAUAUUGCACAAUGGGCGCAAGCCUGAUGCAGCCAUGCCGCGUGUAUGAAGAAGGCCUUCGGGUUGUAAAGUACUUUCAGCGGGGAGGAAGGGAGUAAAGUUAAUACCUUUGCUCAUUGACGUUACCCGCAGAAGAAGCACCGGCUAACUCCGUG